GUGGAGCCUGCGGUUUAAUUGGAUUCAACGCCGGACAACUCACCGGAUAAGACAGCAGAAUGAUAGCCGGGCUGAAGACUCUGCUUGACCAGCUGAGAGGAGGUGCAUGGCCGUCGUCAGUUCGUACUGUGAAGCAUCCUGUUAAGUCAGGCAACGAGCGAGACCCACGCCAACAGUUGCCAGCAUGAUCUCCGGAUUGAUGGGGACACUGUUGGGACCGCCUCUGCUAAAGGGGAGGAAGGAAUGGGCAACGGUAGGUCAGCAUGCCCCGAAUUAUCCGGGCUACACGCGGGCUACAAUGGAUGGGACAAUGGGUUUCGACACCGAAAGGUGAAGGUAAUCUCCUAACCCCACCCGUAGUUCGGAUUGCGGGCUGCAACUCGCUCGCAUGAAGCUGGAAUCCGUAGUAAUCGCGUCUCACGAUGGCGCGGUGAAUAUGUCCCUGCUCCUUGCACACACCGCCCGUCAAACCACCCGAGUGGGGUCUGGAUGAGGCGGCAGUUUAUGCUGCUGUCGAAUCUAGGUUC
Molecule: ribosomal RNA, 527 nt
Filed under: uncultured Methanocalculus sp.
Lineage: Archaea; Methanobacteriati; Methanobacteriota; Methanomicrobia; Methanomicrobiales; Methanocalculaceae
Description: bacterial SSU rRNA
Rfam family: Archaeal small subunit ribosomal RNA
Source: RNAcentral